Long non-coding RNA from Pyrus x bretschneideri (Chinese white pear), 1209 nucleotides. RefSeq lists it as uncharacterized. The transcript is spliced from 3 exons. The record is from RefSeq and is a predicted model, not a curated record. NCBI's taxonomy places the organism in Eukaryota, Viridiplantae, Streptophyta, Magnoliopsida, Rosales, Rosaceae.
CGCAAUCAGAAUUGAAUUUGGAAUUAGGGUAGAGAUUUUAUGGACUUAUGAACAUGAAUGGCGAUUUGGUAAAUUCGUGUGAGAUAUUUUUGUGGCUUGUUUUGUGGGCUACGUAGGGCCCACACUCCUUACUUCUCCCCUCACUCCCGUGUCUCCCUAUUUUCUGGACCAUACUGUCUCCCUCAUUUGAAACUCUCUCUAUCAUUCUCACUUUCUCUCUCUCUCUCACAUCUCUCUUCUUCUCCCUCAACCCGUACCAUUCCCUUCUCUCUACAAACCCAAACAAAAUCAUCAAACACAAAAGAAUGAGCUUCAAAACGUCACCAUCGUAAUCCUCUCAUCCUCACAAGUCCAUCCACAUAAACAGAAUCGAAAACAACUGAGUUUCGAAACGUUAAAAAAAGGGUCCGAGAGCUUUCAAGCCAUUUUCAGUCCAAUUCCGUCCAAUUUUUAGAUUUUCAAAAGUUUCCGGCGACCUCCGAGAUUUCUGAGCCAUUUUCCGACCAAAUCAUGGCGAGUUAGCAGUCAAGUAGGCCACCAAUCUCUUUUUUUGAUCCCGAAUUUUCCGGCCAAUUUCCCCAGUUUCCAAUGGACCAGUCGUUUUUCAUGCCAUUUUCCGGCCAUCUCCAGCACCAUUGGGCUUCUAAAUAGGUAUAAUCUUGUUGUACACUUUCCUAGCUUCGUUUUGAUAUAUUAUGGGCAAAUUUUGGUUGUGAAAUACGCCUGAAUGGAGCAUUUGAAUUCACCCUAAAAUCUGCAGAAGAAGAAAGGGCCUAAGCCCAAAUCCGGCCCAAACCUUUGGGUCUUUGUUCAAGUCUAAGUCCAAGUCCAUUUCUGAAAUUAGAGGGAAUGAAUAUUCAGUUAACUUUAACAGAAUAUUCAUUAUGAGAAGGGAAUAUUCCAUUAAAGUUAACCGUUAACUGUUAGUCGACUUUUGUUGAUUUUUUUUCAAAUUUUUUCGGAAACCCUCCUAGACUAAUUUAGAUGCUCCGAGUCUAUUUUUGACAUCCAUUUAGUGAAAUUCUAAGGUUUUGGUAUAGUUGACCAUUAAGGCGUUUCGAUUUACUUUUAGGGUUGACUGUUGACUUUUUGUAAAAUUUGCCGAUGACCAUCUUUAGCAUAUUUCGACGCCCUGAUUCCAAAUCCGCACUCCAUUUUCUCAAAUUUGAUCGUUUAGGUGCGAUUAUUAUUGGUGACUCUAGUUUUCCU